This 21-nucleotide non-coding RNA is filed under the name Arabidopsis thaliana (thale cress). The record is from RNAcentral. Lineage: Eukaryota; Viridiplantae; Streptophyta; Magnoliopsida; Brassicales; Brassicaceae.
GCCGGGUUACGGUGCCCAACU